CCCGGGCAUUCAUUCUCAAAUCAUUCUCCGCUCCGCUGAGACCUUUAUCGGCUUCGAGUAUAGAAAGGCUUUCGAAAGCGUUGUUCAGACACAACUCGAAUCCUUCCGAGAAUCACAGCAUUAUGAAGUACCUGACGGCAUGCCUCCUUCUCCUGUCCAUCGCCAUGAGUGUGAUGCCCGCCGACGCUCAGAUGAUAGCUCAGACUGUUCGGUCUAUCGUUGACGGAUUCCGCUUCACGGAAGCUUUCAUCGAUCAACUCAUGGAAUUCGCCCUCGAGGUCAUCGAAACGGUUAUCCUGACCUUCCUCAGCCUGUUCGUCACUAUCUGAAUGCUCCCAGGAGCAACUCAGGGGUUGAAAUCGAUUUGGAGCCCAGAUAUGCGGUUCAGGAGACGCGAGCAGCGUCGAUCGUCAGACCUCUCAAAUCUAUCCAAUAAAUUUUUUUG
This is a long non-coding RNA of Galendromus occidentalis (western predatory mite), 445 nucleotides long. RefSeq lists it as uncharacterized. NCBI's taxonomy places the organism in Eukaryota, Metazoa, Arthropoda, Arachnida, Mesostigmata, Phytoseiidae. The transcript is spliced from 4 exons. The record is from RefSeq and is a predicted model, not a curated record.